GCCUACGGGAGGCAGCAGUAGGGGAUAUUGGUAAUCUAGGAAACUGGGAACCAGCAACGCCGCGUGUGCGAUGAAGGCCUUCGGGUUGUAAAGCACUUUUCACCGGGACGAGGAAGGACGGUACCGGUGGAAUAAGCCUCGGCUAACUACGUGCCAGCAGCCGCGGUAAAACGUAGGAGGCGAGCGUUAUCCGGAUUUACUGGGUGUAAAGCGCAUGCAGGCGGUUCGCUAAGUUGGGUGUGAAAGCUCCUGGCUCAACUGGGAGAGGUCGCUCAGGACUGGCGGGCUAGAGGGUGGUAGGGGAAGGCGGAAUUCCGGGUGUAGUGGUGAAAUGCGUAGAUAUCCGGAGGAACACCAGUGGCGAAGGCGGCCUUCUGGACCAUGACUGACGCUCAGAUGCGAAAGCUAGGGGAGCAAACGGGAUUAGAUACCCCGGU
Molecule: ribosomal RNA, 437 nt
Filed under: uncultured bacterium
Lineage: Bacteria
Description: bacterial SSU rRNA
Rfam family: Bacterial small subunit ribosomal RNA
Source: RNAcentral